This 77-nucleotide transfer RNA is filed under the name Actinomycetota bacterium. Its description in RNAcentral is "tRNA-Pro". It matches the Rfam family "tRNA". From Rfam's summary of the family: Transfer RNA (tRNA) molecules are approximately 80 nucleotides in length. Their secondary structure includes four short double-helical elements and three loops (D, anti-codon, and T loops). The record is from RNAcentral. Lineage: Bacteria; Bacillati; Actinomycetota.
CGGGGCGUAGCGCAGCCUGGUAGCGCACUUGCUUUGGGAGCAAGAGGCCGCGGGUUCGAAUCCCGCCGCCCCGACCA